GGUGAGGUGGCCGAGAGGUUGAAGGCUCUCCCCUGCUAAGGGAGUAUGUAGUAAAAGCUGCAUCGAGGGUUCGAAUCCCUUCCUCACCGCCAAAA
Molecule: transfer RNA, 95 nt
Filed under: Candidatus Ishikawaella capsulata Mpkobe
Lineage: Bacteria; Pseudomonadati; Pseudomonadota; Gammaproteobacteria; Enterobacterales; Enterobacteriaceae
Description: tRNA-Ser
Rfam family: tRNA
About the family: Transfer RNA (tRNA) molecules are approximately 80 nucleotides in length.
Source: RNAcentral